UUUCGAUUAAAGCAGCUAGAGAAGGUUUUAAAUCUUUACACCUACCAUCUCUAACAUAAGCCAUUAUACUAGAAUUUAACCCUAACAUAGUUAAAGGUUUAAAGGCUAUUUGGAUUAAUCCAAUAUGAAUAAAAUUAUAUCCCUUAAAAGGAAGUAAAUCUGCUUUACUUAAUAAUUUUAUAGUCUUGGUAUUACCAGUAACUUGAAU
This 208-nucleotide long non-coding RNA is filed under the name Trifolium pratense (red clover). RNAcentral's name for it is "long non-coding RNA (TPRA_LNC009664)". The record is from RNAcentral. Lineage: Eukaryota; Viridiplantae; Streptophyta; Magnoliopsida; Fabales; Fabaceae.